Arabidopsis thaliana (thale cress) is the source of this 344-nucleotide long non-coding RNA. RefSeq annotates it as other RNA. The transcript has a single exon. Lineage: Eukaryota; Viridiplantae; Streptophyta; Magnoliopsida; Brassicales; Brassicaceae. The record is from RefSeq.
UUCGAUCGCAGCAACGACGAUUCCGGCAACAAGCACAUCCCAAUCACCAGUCUGUCCAAGAAUAGUAGCUAGUGCAUUGGCAGUGUAGAAACCAAGAAGCAGCAGAAAUAUCUUCAUUGGGAAGUUUUUUCUUGCAGAGUUUAUCUUCCCAAGUAACUGUUUGCCUCCUGCAAUCGCAAUUCUACCUAACCGAGUGCUACCGAGACCGGUUCUGUCUCCAUUCAUCUCUUGCCCUUCACCACUAUCUCCAGGAAUAGAAGAACCAGUGUCUAACGCAAACGCUAUUUUCCGGUUUGGUCUUCUUAUCUGAAAACUAUUGGCAAAAAAUGAAGAGACUUUUCAAU